CCUACGGGCGGCAGCAGUGAGGAAUAUUGGUCAAUGGGCGCAAGCCUGAACCAGCCAAGUCGCGUGAGGGAAGACGGCCCUACGGGUUGUAAACCUCUUUUGCCGGGGAGCAAGCCUGAGCACGUGUGCCCAGGCGGAGAGUACCCGGAGAAAAAGCAUCGGCUAACUCCGUGCCAGCAGCCGCGGUAAUACGGAGGAUGCGAGCGUUAUCCGGAUUUAUUGGGUUUAAAGGGUGCGUAGGCGGAUUGAUAAGUUAGAGGUGAAAUGUCCGAGCUUAACUCGGGAACUGCCUCUAAUACUGUUGAUCUAGAGAGUAGAUGCGGUAGGCGGAAUGUAUGGUGUAGCGGUGAAAUGCUUAGAGAUCAUACAGAACACCGAUUGCGAAGGCAGCUUACCAAUCUAUAUCUGACGUUGAGGCACGAAAGCGUGGGGAGCAAACAGGAUUAGAUACCCCAGUAGUC
RNAcentral lists this ribosomal RNA (461 nucleotides) under uncultured bacterium. Its description in RNAcentral is "partial 16S ribosomal RNA". It matches the Rfam family "Bacterial small subunit ribosomal RNA", at positions 338 to 795 of the family's 1533-position model. The record is from RNAcentral.